AACCCGGGGCGGCUCCUUCCGAAGGCUCCACUCCAGCGGCUCGCUGCGGGAGACCAAGGCCAGCCGCCGUCCCAGGGGACGGCCCUCGGGGAACCUGAAUGACGUGCGAGGCCGUACCUCGGGGCGCUGGACUCCGCUCGGGCGCUCCCGCUCUCCGCUCCCGCUCUCGGGUCCCAAUCCCGACGCUCCGCGCGCUCCCGGACUAAGUGCGGACGCGCCCCACGCCCCCCGGCGCCAGCCCGGGACAGCGCUGCACCUGUUGCCACGUGCGACGCGGCGCUCAGCGGCUGCCACUGCCGCCGGCGCACCUGGCUGCACCGCGCGUCCCGGGACCACGCUCGUCCCCGCAGGAGCCCGGGGCUCCGCCGCACCCAGCGCUAGGGCCCAGGCCGGGCCGCGAGACAGGUAUUGCUAUGUUGCCCAGGCUGCUGCUGGCCUCAAAGCCCUGGACUCAUGUGAUCCUCCCACCUUGGCCUUCUGAGUAGCUGGGACUACAGUCAUGUGCCAUGGUGCCCAGCAAGUAGAUACUAUUAUAUUCAUUUUAUAAGUGAUGAAGUUGAAACCCAGUCUAGUUAUAAAUAUGCCCAGUGUCACGAAGCUAAUAAAUAACAGGAUUAGGAUUGAAAUCCAGGUCAGUCUGACCUUGAACCACCAAAUACACUGCCUUCUUAUAACUCAGCUCUUUGGAGUUCUACAUUUGAUUUACUUUUGUGUUUCAACCCCAGAUGUAUAGUUCAAAAAUAAUACAUAACUUUAAAAAUAAAGAUAAUUUUUAAUGAAAAGAACCAGAAUUAAUUGUAUAAUCUGUUGUUAGAAAAAUCUUUUGGCCAGGUGCGAUGGCUCACAGCGGUAAUCCCAACACUUUGGGAGGCCAAGGCGGGCAGAUCACGAGGUCAGGAAAUUGAGACCAUCCUGGCCAACAUGGUGAAACCCCAUCUCUACUAAAAUACAAAAAAUUAGCCGGGCAUGGUGGUGCACACCUGUAGUCCCAGCUACUCAGGAGGCUGAGACAGGGGAAUCACUUAAACCCGGGAGGCAGAGGUUGCAGUAAGCCAAGAUGGCACCACUGCACUCCAGCCUGGUGACAGAGCAAGACUCCGUCAAAAAAAAAAAAAAAAAAGAAAAAAAAACUCUUAAUGAAGAAAUACAAGUCAGAAACACUUGAGCCAAUUUACUUAAAAAACAGAAACAUACAGAGGGUACCCCUACGACCACUAUCACUAAACAGAGAAUGUAGAAAGAUUUAAGUGUGUUUUACAUGUUACAUGGUUGCAUACUUAAAAUGUCAGCAGAAUCAAACAAAAAAUAGUUAUACACAACUAGAAGACAGAAUUUACCGUAUCAAUAAUACAUUAAAUAACCCAGCAAUAAAAUUAACUUGAAACAGAUGUGUUUCUUAAAAAAAUUGAUUGAAGGGACAGAAAGAUUUCCUGACAAAGAUGCCAAAAGCAAUUGCAACAAAAGCAAAAAUUGACAAACGGUAUCUAAUUAAACUAAAGCACUUCUACACAGAAAAAGAAACUAUCAUCAGAGUGAACAGACAACCUACGGAAUGGGAGAAAAAUUUUGCAAUCUAUUCAUCUGACAAGGUCUAAUAUCCAGAGUCUACAAGGAUUUUAAACAAUUUACAAGAAAAAAAUGAACAAUCACAUUAAAAAGUGUGCAAAGGACAUGAACAGACACUUCUCAGAAGACAUACAUGUGGCCAACAAACAUAAGAAAGAACUGAUUAUUAGAGAAAUGCAAAUUAAAACCACAAUGAGACACCAUCUCACACCAGUCAGAAUGGCUAUUAUUAAAAAGUCAAAAAACAACAGAUGCUGGAGAGGAUAUGGAGAAAUAGGAAGGCUUUUACACUGUUAGUUGGAGUGUAAAUUAGUUCAACCACUGUGGAAGACAGUGUGGUGAUUCCUCAAAGACUUAAAGGCAGAAAUACCAUUUGAUUCAGCAAUCCUAUUAUUGGGUAUAUACCCAGAGGAAUAGAAAUUAUUCUUUUACAAAGAUACGUGCACGUGUAAAAAUAAAAAGAUACGUGUACACGUAUGUUCAUUGUGGCACUAUUCACGAUAGCAAAGACAUAGAAUCAACCUGGACGCCCAUCAACAACAGACUGGAUAAAGGGAAUGUGGUAUAUAUACACCAUGGAGUGCUAUGCAACCAUAAAAAGGAAUGAGAACAUGUCCUUUGCAGGGACAUGAAUGGAGGUGGAAGCAAUUAUCCUCAGCAAACUAACACAGGAACAGAAAGCCAGUCACCGCAUGUUCUCACUUAUAAGGGGGAGCUGAACCACGAGAACACAUAGACACAUAGACGGUAACAACACACACGGGCCUCUCCAAGAAGGUGGGAUGGUGGGAGGGAGAACAUCAGGAAGAAUAGCUAAUGGAUGCUGGGCUUAAUACCUAAGGGAUGGGUUGAUCUGUGCAGGUCUGUGUAGCAAACUACCACGGCACACAUUUACUUAUAUAACAAACGUGCACAUCCUGCAAAGGUAUUCAGAACUUAAAAGUUGAAGAAAAAUAAGUUGAUUAAAUUCUAAUAAAAAAAGGUAAACAUACCUAAAUAACUAUGCUACAUUCUUUUUUAGAGAGAUUAAAUAAGACAUCAAUUAAAAAUGUUUAAUAUAUAAAUUUAUUGCAGUUAUAAAUUCCUGUGAGAACCAAUAGUGAAAAAUAAAUGGAUGACAUUAUCAAAACAUUUUCAUUGGGAAUAAGGAUGAACUCAGCAAACUUGGAAAACUGAACACACUGCAACAAUGAUCAAAAUCUUAUGGCCUUGGGUUAUUACAGUCGGAAAAAAGAAUCCAACCUAUAGGGCAAGGGAAAACCACAUAAUAAGUUGUCUUCCAAAUAGUUGGCUAACAGGCUGGAAAAAACAUCAUGUUAGAUACGUAAAUACACGGAAACAAACAGUAUAAUAAAUUCCAGCUGUAUCAAAAAGUAAAAGCCCUUUUUAAAAAAUGGAAGAGUGGUUUAUCUAUUUCCUAUGAGAAAAAGAACAUGCAUUUUUAUUUUCUUUUUUGAGACAGUGUCUCACUCUGUUGCCCACGUUGGAUUGCAGUGGUGUGAUCAUGGCUCACUGCAACCUCAGUCUCCCGGGGUCAAGCAAUCCUCCCAUCUCAUCCUCCCAAGUAGCUGUGACUACAGGCAUGCGUCACCAUGCCUUGCUAAUUUUUUAAUUGUUUGUGGAGACACAGUCUCACUAUGUUGCCCAACCUGGAGAACAUGCAUUUCUAAUCACUGCAGAAAACAAAGGUUGUUACCGGAAGCAGGGGUGAUUAAUUGAGCAGAUUUAAAUUUUUUAACUUUCAUGCAACAAAAUGUAAAAUAAAAAUGCUAUAAAGAAAACUUUCCAGUAUAGAAUAGAUAUAUUACAAAUAUAACGUGAUAAUAGCUUUCUCCCAAAAUAUAUGAAAAAAUAAAUGAUUAUGUAAGUCAAUAACCACUUUCCACUUGAUGAAUGGACAGUUUGCAGUUAGGAACAUUUAGACUACAUCAUUGUGUUUUUAAAAAUCAGUUUUAUUAAAAAAUGAAAAUAAAGGUUAAUUAAACUCACAUGAAGACUCUCUUACAGAUGCAUUAAACUGGAAGACAUUUUUUAUUUUUUAUUUUAUUUAUUUUUUUUUUGAGACGGAGCCUCACUCUGUCACCCAUGCUGGAGUGCUAUGAUGCGAUCUUGGCUCACUGCAACCUCUACCUCCCGGGUUCAAGCGAUUUUCUUGCCUCAGCCUCCCAAGUAGCUGGGUUUACAGGCACGUGCCACCACACCCGGCCUGUUUUUGUAUUUUUAGUAGAGAUGGGGUUUCACCAUGUUGUCCAGGCUGG
Molecule: long non-coding RNA, 3824 nt
Filed under: Homo sapiens (human)
Lineage: Eukaryota; Metazoa; Chordata; Mammalia; Primates; Hominidae
Description: non-protein coding lnc-PCM1-4:14
Source: RNAcentral